RNAcentral lists this long non-coding RNA (230 nucleotides) under Elaeis guineensis (African oil palm). RNAcentral's name for it is "long non-coding RNA (EGUI_LNC004850)". Lineage: Eukaryota; Viridiplantae; Streptophyta; Magnoliopsida; Arecales; Arecaceae. The record is from RNAcentral.
UCUUUGGCUUGGAUCUGGACUUCUUCAAGAUCUAGAAGGAGAUGAUCCCUGUGUGAACUCUUUCAUGCUGAGUCGAGGGAGAUAGCUUCUAGGAUGCCAAGAAGGGAUGAGAAUCUUUCUCUUCCCUUCUUCUUCUCUCUCUAAUGUCUCUCUCUCUAAUCUGAUUUGAGGAGGAGGUGGGGUGUGAAGAGGAAGAAGGGAGAACGGCAUGGAGAUUAAGUCUUGCGGCA